RNAcentral lists this ribosomal RNA (406 nucleotides) under uncultured bacterium. Its description in RNAcentral is "partial 16S ribosomal RNA". It matches the Rfam family "Bacterial small subunit ribosomal RNA", at positions 30 to 526 of the family's 1533-position model. The record is from RNAcentral.
AUUGAACGCUGGCGGCAGGCCUAACACAUGCAAGUCGAACGAGUGGCGGACGGGUGAGUAAUGUCUGGGAAACUGACUGAUGGAGGGGGAUAACUACUGGAAACAGUCGCCAAUAACGCAUACCCUCAAAUGUGCCCAGCUGGGUUUAGCGUGUUGGUGGGGUAACGGCUCACUAAGGCGACGAUCCCUAGCUGGUCUGAGAGGAUGACCAGCCACACUGGAACUGAGCCACGGUCCAGACUCCUACGGGAGGCAGCAGUGGGGAAUAUUGCACAAUGGGCGCAAGCCUGAUGCAGCCAUGCCGCGUUUAUGAAGAAGGCCUUCGGGUUGUAAAGUUCUUUCAGCGUGGAGGCGUUACCCGCAGAAGAAGCACCGGCUAACUCCGUUCCAGCCGCCGCGGUAAUAC